AUUGAACGCUGGCGGAAUGCUUUACACAUGCAAGUCGAGCGGCAGCGCGGCCUUCGGGCUGGCGGCGAGCGGCGAACGGGUGAGUAAUGCAUCGGAACAUGCCCAGUCGUGGGGGAUAACACUUCGAAAGAAGUGCUAAUACCGCAUACGUCCUGAGGGGGAAAGCGGGGAUCGCAAGACCUCGCGCGAUUGGAGUGGCCGAUGUCAGAUUAGCUAGUUGGUGGGGUAAAGGCCUACCAAGGCGACGAUCUGUAGCUGGUCUGAGAGGAUGAUCAGCCACACUGGGACUGAGACACGGCCCAGACUCCUACGGGAGGCAGCAGUGGGGAAUUUUGGACAAUGGGGGCAACCCUGAUCCAGCCAUGCCGCGUGAGUGAAGAAGGCCUUCGGGUUGUAAAGCUCUUUCGGCAGGAACGAAACGGUGGGCUCUAACAUAGUCCGCUAAUGACGGUACCUGAAGAAGAAGCACCGGCUAACUACGUG
Molecule: ribosomal RNA, 483 nt
Filed under: uncultured bacterium
Lineage: Bacteria
Description: partial 16S ribosomal RNA
Rfam family: Bacterial small subunit ribosomal RNA
Source: RNAcentral